CAAUGGGCGCAAGCCUGAUGCAGCGACGCCGCGUGAGGGAUGACAGCCUUCGGGUUGUAAACCUCUUUCGCCAGGGACGAAGCGCAAGUGACGGUACCUGGAGAAGAAGGACCGGCCAACUACGUGCCAGCAGCCGCGGUAAUACGUAGGGUCCGAGCGUUGUCCGGAAUUACUGGGCGUAAAGAGCUCGUAGGUGGUUUGUCGCGUUGUUCGUGAAAACUCACAGCUCAACUGUGGGCGUGCGGGCGAUACGGGCAGACUGGAGUACUGCAGGGGGAGACUGGAAUUCCUGGUGUAGCGGUGGAAUGCGCAGAUAUCAGGAGGAACACCGGUGGCGAAGGCGGGUCUCUGGGCAGUAACUGACGCUGAGGAGCGAAAGCGUGGGGAGCGAACAGGAUUAGAUACCCUGGUAGUCCACGCCGUAAACGGUGGGUACUAGGUGUGGGUUUCCUUCCUUGGGAUCCGUGCCGUAGCUAACGCAUUAAGUACCCCGCCUGGGGAGUACGGCCGCAAGGCUA
This 518-nucleotide ribosomal RNA is filed under the name uncultured Actinomycetes bacterium. RNAcentral's name for it is "bacterial SSU rRNA". It matches the Rfam family "Bacterial small subunit ribosomal RNA", at positions 369 to 896 of the family's 1533-position model. Lineage: Bacteria; Bacillati; Actinomycetota; Actinomycetes. The record is from RNAcentral.